RNAcentral lists this transfer-messenger RNA (435 nucleotides) under Holosporales bacterium. It matches the Rfam family "Alphaproteobacteria transfer-messenger RNA". From Rfam's summary of the family: Bacterial tmRNA, also known as 10Sa RNA or SsrA, is named for its dual tRNA and mRNA-like properties. The record is from RNAcentral. Lineage: Bacteria; Pseudomonadati; Pseudomonadota; Alphaproteobacteria; Holosporales.
AUGUUUGUGUUGCGUCACUCAAAUUGCUACAAUCAGCGAUGUUAGGUGUUCUAACUACAACGAUAAAUGCUGUGUAGAAUAGGCUAUAUGGACCCGGGGGCGGUACCCGGCACCUCCAGUUGAUUAUUAGAUCCCGUUGACGUAAGAUCCAGUCCGCAAAUUUUUGGUGACUGGUGUGAGGGGGUGAAACAGGUUCGACAUAGGUAGUAAAAACGCGAGCGUUCGUUCGGCAUUGUUCCGCCGUUAUCGGGCUAAAAACUAUAGAUGCCAUUUUACAACGCAUCGUAGCCAAUCGUAGUCGUCGCAAAGUUGCUGCUAACAGCAAUAAAAAAGCGGCAGGGCAACGGAAGGCUGCCUAAUUUUCCCCCUUUAGUGGGAAUUUAGGUGCCUAUGGCUUGCGGUUCGGGGAGGACCGAGCAACAGAACCUCCCCACG